Molecule: non-coding RNA, 186 nt
Filed under: Hyphomicrobiales bacterium
Lineage: Bacteria; Pseudomonadati; Pseudomonadota; Alphaproteobacteria; Hyphomicrobiales
Source: RNAcentral
ACCAAAAUAGAGCUGACAGGUUUGGCGGAAACGCCAAUGAAAAGGGAAUCCGGUGUUAAUCCGGAGCUGCCCCCGCAACUGUGACCGGCGAGCGAAGACCCUCAUAUGCCACUGGAUGAUUCCGGGAAGGUGGGGUCCAAGCACUGACCCGGAAGUCAGGAGACCUGCCCGUCAGUUGUCACCCAU